UACGUAGGAUCCAAGCGUUGUCCGGAUUUACUGGGUGUAAAGGGUGCGCAGGCGGACUGGUUAGUCUGGGGUGAAAUCUCAUCGCUUAACGGUGAAACUGCCUUAGAUACUGCCAGUUUUGAAUCAGCGAGAGGUUCGUGGAAUUCCGAGUGUAGCAGUGAAAUGUGUAGAUAUUCGGAAGAACACCAGUGGCGAAGGCAGCGAACUGGCGCUCGAUUGACGCUCAGGCACGAAAGCAUGGGGAUCAAACAGG
RNAcentral lists this ribosomal RNA (253 nucleotides) under uncultured bacterium. Its description in RNAcentral is "partial 16S ribosomal RNA". It matches the Rfam family "Bacterial small subunit ribosomal RNA", at positions 524 to 776 of the family's 1533-position model. The record is from RNAcentral.